Molecule: long non-coding RNA, 430 nt
Organism: Fukomys damarensis (Damara mole-rat)
Lineage: Eukaryota; Metazoa; Chordata; Mammalia; Rodentia; Bathyergidae
Exons: 3
Source: RefSeq, a predicted model, not a curated record
AUUGCUUUCAGAAGCAGAAGAAAGAACUGAGCUGCUUAGUAUCAUUUUUCCAGAAUGAUUUUGUGUCAUAAUGAAAUGAGCAGAGCUUCACAGUCUGUGAAAUGAGUAUUUUUUGACCCUACAAUAGAACAUAUUCAUCUGAGCUCAUAGAAAAUGUAGCAGAUGUGUUCUUUAUUCUGGGAGGCCAAAGGCACAGAGAAGGGCAGGGGCCUCUAGAAUCAGGAGCAAGUGAUUGACGUACCUCACUGGCCAUACUGUCCACAAGGAGAGCAUCAGCGUCCAUCAGAAGUCAGGAUCUACUGGCAGAUGACUUCACCCCUGUCUCUGAGGAGAAGAGCAUAACGAGGAAGAGGAGUCAGACGACAUAGUACAGAGCAAAAGCGACUUUUAUUGCAAGAGAAAGCAGUACAAAGCUACUCCGAGGAGUGGG